UUCUCUCUCUGUCUGUUAUGAAGUGAAAAUAUGGCAGCUAAUUAAAUGUCGUGUUUAGAAGCCGAAGUUUACCGAUUGACACCUUAUUGUAAACAAUCAACAAUUAAACGUGGAUAUUGAGUACGUGUUUGACAUGUACAAUCAGUUAAAAGUUUAUUUUAAGGACAGAUCCAUGCAUAUUGCGAUCACCGGAUUUUUACGAGUGGGUCACGCUGAGGUCACUUUGCAUACGGAA
This 235-nucleotide long non-coding RNA is filed under the name Mytilus galloprovincialis (Mediterranean mussel). The record is from RNAcentral. Lineage: Eukaryota; Metazoa; Mollusca; Bivalvia; Mytilida; Mytilidae.